RNAcentral lists this ribosomal RNA (787 nucleotides) under uncultured bacterium. Its description in RNAcentral is "bacterial SSU rRNA". It matches the Rfam family "Bacterial small subunit ribosomal RNA", at positions 678 to 1479 of the family's 1533-position model. The record is from RNAcentral.
GCGGUGAAAUGCUUAGAUAUCACGAAGAACUCCGAUUGCGAAGGCAGCCUGCUAAGCUGCAACUGACAUUGAGGCUCGAAAGUGUGGGUAUCAAACAGGAUUAGAUACCCUGGUAGUCCACACGGUAAACGAUGAAUACUCGCUGUUUGCGAUAUACUGCAAGCGGCCAAGCGAAAGCGUUAAGUAUUCCACCUGGGGAGUACGCCGGCAACGGUGAAACUCAAAGGAAUUGACGGGGGCCCGCACAAGCGGAGGAACAUGUGGUUUAAUUCGAUGAUACGCGAGGAACCUUACCCGGGCUUAAAUUGCAGAUGAAUUACGGUGAAAGCCGUAAGCCGCAAGGCAUCUGUGAAGGUGCUGCAUGGUUGUCGUCAGCUCGUGCCGUGAGGUGUCGGCUUAAGUGCCAUAACGAGCGCAACCCUUGUUGUCAGUUACUAACAGGUUUCGCUGAGGACUCUGACAAGACUGCCAUCGUAAGAUGUGAGGAAGGUGGGGAUGACGUCAAAUCAGCACGGCCCUUACGUCCGGGGCUACACACGUGUUACAAUGGGGGGUACAGAGGGCCGCUACCACGCGAGUGGAUGCCAAUCCCAAAAACCUCUCUCAGUUCGGACUGGAGUCUGCAACCCGACUCCACGAAGCUGGAUUCGCUAGUAAUCGCGCAUCAGCCACGGCGCGGUGAAUACGUCCCCGGGCCUUGUACACACCGCCCGUCAAGCCAUGGGAGCCGGGGGUACCUGAAGUGCGUAAACGGGAGGAGCGCCCUAGGGUAAAACUGGUGACUGGG